Long non-coding RNA from Parus major (Great Tit), 4863 nucleotides. RefSeq lists it as uncharacterized. Lineage: Eukaryota; Metazoa; Chordata; Aves; Passeriformes; Paridae. The record is from RefSeq and is a predicted model, not a curated record. The transcript is spliced from 2 exons.
UCCUCAUUCUUCGGUUCUCUUGGCGAUCAUUUCCCUGACCAGCUGUCUCCUACCGCACCAGGGAGGGUAAUGGUCCUUGAUGGUCGCUUGUCUCCUGUGCACCUUCUGGCUGCUCCCAGUCUGUAGAUGUUUAGAUCAUCAGACCCCCGCCGGUGAACAGCGUCUCUUGAAGAGAAACUUCAAUUCCCCUCUCCCUGGGCAAAGGCGAACAAACCCCUGACUAAAGUUACAUUAAAAAUGUUAGAAGUUGUAUAAUUUCCAACAAUCCCUCCAACUUAAAUUGUGUUGCAAAGGCAGUAACUUUUGUCACAAAGUCACAACAACGGCAGAAGGGGACGAUGUCUUGAAUUUUUAAAUCAGCCCUCACAGAAAAGAGCACUUUCAGUUUGAAGUACAGCGCAAAUGAGUUAAAAAACACAACGGCCUGCAAAUUACCAUCAGAAGUGCCUUCUUUGGUAGUAUCUUGCAAACCUUUCAGCUCCUUUGCAACACAGGAAAAGCUGGCUUUGGGUAACUAAAGUAGUCAUCAGUGCUAACAUGCACUCUUUGCUUCUCCCUGACUAACACCUGAGGGAAACUUCUGGGAAUACGGUCCCAGUUCUAACUGGUUUAUCAGCCCAGAUGACGGAUACAGGAGAUAACAUUCAAGGUGUGGUUAGAUAAUAAGGAAAAGACCACUGAGUGGCUCCCUGCCUUCAGACGGAGCUAUUUCCCCAUUUCCAUCUCUGAUUCUCUGCUUCCAGCUGUGUGUCCCUGCUGCUUUCUUUAUGAUGUCUUAUGUGUUCUUGAUAAAGCAAGCUGACACACUAACAGCAAAUACAAGUAAAUAUCCUGCUGUUGAAUCAGAUAAAUCUGUGGUCAAAGGAGCCAAAGCCAGUUCAAAGAAAUGCUUGGCUAGGAAUGCACAGCUCCUGGCAAGGCCAUUGUUUCAACAGGGCAACAGAUGAGCUCCAGACAUUAUUUCGGUGAGGCACUGAUGGGCUCAGCUGCAUCACCAAACAGUGCAAGGAGGCUGAGGCAAUCCAACACCACUCUUUUUCGUAAAACAUUCUCACCAUCAGCUUACAGGCAUAAGUGAGAAGGCAAGGAGGAGAAGGGAACACCUCUCUCACAGUGGAAUGCCCUGAAAUCAUACAAGCUUAAUGUAGUCUUCCUCCUCAGUAAUGCUGCUAAGACAGCUGAAACAGAUCCCACCUUUUCCCUGCCUGUCUGCUGCCACUCCAGUGAUGUCCUGGGCCAGCUGCUGUGUAGCUGCUCAGGACUACCUCAGGGAACUGAUCUACAGAAAAAAAAAAUGGCAUUAUUUCUCAGGUGUGCCAGGUCACUUUAUCCACUUUAUACAAUAGGGGCACAAACAACAGAAGGGCAGCAAGAGGAUGGAAGAAAUGGCUGGGAACAGAUCUCUCAGGAGUAACAUGCCACCAACCCCAUCCCAACAAAGGGAUGCAUGCUGAGUCUUCAUCAUCUUGCCAUUAAACACCACCAUUUUAGUGUGGUUGUGCAGCUAAGUAAGCCCCACAGCUGCUAUAAUUCUCUAGCAGAGCAGAUAAUGUGGCUGAUUAAGGAUCAGAGGGAGGUAAGACAGACCCAAGUCAAUGACUCCCUGCAGCUCUCCUUAAACCCCAUCCAAUAAGAAAGAGUAAAUUAAAUAUUGUGGUAUCUUCUGCAUUGAAUGAGUUAAAGUUCAGGAUUGGCAAUUAUCUACCAAAAAGGAUAUUAUUCUAAUAAUCCUAUUAUUCUAUUAUAUCUAAUUCUUAUUCUUCAAUAGAUAUGGGGGAAAACAAGUGUUCUUGAGAAUCUUUUUGAAACUGUACUUUGGCAUGAAAACCAGAUCUGUGCUCUCAGAUGUCUCACUACAGUGCAUUUCAGGGUAUGUUUGUGUGAGGCUUGUUUUGCUUAUGUGAGCAAACUGCAGCCUGUCCUCUGACAGCAAAGGAACUAUGCAGUAAUAUCUUACAGUCCCAGAGAAGUGGAUUUGGGAUUCUUCCCUUGUGAGUAGCACUACAUGGUAUAUUUCUCUUAAGGUGCCCUACCCUCUGGCCUUGGCUCAUAGGUGAACAACAUGUUGUUAAGAUAAAUAAGGUAGGUCAGAAGUCAAAGCCCUGUGCCUGCAUAUCUCUCCAAGUACACAAACAAAUGCAGAAGAAAUCGCCAAAUUAUUUUUAAACUACAAAAGUGACUUAAACUAAGAUGCUAGGAUGGAUAUUGCAAAACCAGAUGAAUGAAGGAAUACCAAAAAGCCCAUGCACUUGCUUUUUGUGGAGGUAAGAGAUAACUGAGAUAUUAAUGCUUCAAUGGAACUGAAGAAAGUACAGAAUAGUAUUUACAUGGUUUCAUCGUCUGCAGUCAGAGCUUAGUUUGUGUCCUGCUUUUCCAGUGGCAUCAAUGGGUUUGUGCAACUUUUAUGCAUGAAUUCCAAGAGCCUUUUUUGGGUGAUGUAGAUGAAAAAAAACCUUUUCUGUACCAGAAGGCGCAACCACCAGAGAACCUCCCCUAACAAACCUCCUGCCGAGUCCCAAGGCUCCACCACUGCAGUGGUGACUGUCAGACCAGAUAAUGGAAUCAGGGCAUGUGGCAGAAAAACAAGUUUAGUGGCACAUACAGCCUUCAAAAAUUCAUGUACCGUUUGGCUUAAUAAUUCCUCUCUUCAAAUACUGCCCUCCUGAUCUGAACUGCCCACUGAUACUUAGAAAGAGGUUUCAGUUUGUACAGCAGCUGGGGUGGGGGAUUUCCCUUAACUUUACUGUUCCAUAUUUAUUUUAAAAAAAGAGAUUCUGGUAACAAAACCAAGUCAUGGACUUGGGCAAGAACUACCUGUUACUUGUUCAAAUGUCUCUAGUGCAGAUGGCCCAACACAGUCCACCUCAGGGUAAUGCAUGCCACAUAUUGGAAACUGCUACCAGCUGGCUUUCAGGUAGAAGUUAUGAAGAAUUAAAACUCUACAAUAAAAGAAGAAAAGCAGAGUGUGAAAUAUAUGGAUAUUAAAACACUUUCCAAAAGGAACAAACCCCCUUGCUUCUUUUUUGGUCCAAUUCUACAAGCUACAAACAAAUAUAACUACCAAAAAUCAGGACACGUAAGAGUAAUUGCAGAAUAGUUUGUGAGCUCUUAGUAUGAAACUACUUUUUAUAGCUCUAGAGUAUAUGUAUAUAUGUGUAUAUAUAUAUAUAUAUAUAAAAUAUGCUGUGGAAAUAUUGACACAAUCUGAAAAGCAGAAAUUACAUGGAGGAGAGGAGGAUACAGGAAUAUGCAAGUACUGGGAAGAAAACACUGUUGGAGGCAAAGUGGAGAAAAUCAGAGGUGAAUAUGAAAAAGAAGCUCAAGACAGUGCUGGUCAUCCCAACCAGUGUCUGGCAUCUGAUCUGGAGGAUGCCAGGUUUCCACUUCCUUAGUGUUUCUUACUGCAGAUGUGAGAAUAUAAAACAUGUGUCAGAGCUUUUUCCUUGACCCAGGGGGAAAACAUGACAUUUUCCCUUGAUUUCUGUGACAGUCAAGUUCCAGGGCCUUGGAACCCAGCUUGGAGCAAGCAGGUGCUAACUCACAGGCAAGCAACUGGGCACUGUAAAAAACUUCUCUCACUUGGCAACAAGCUAUUGAAUACCAGCUGCUGGGUGCUGAGGUGAUUUGUGAUUAGGAUCCACCUGAAUCAAGAGAGGGCAUAUGGGCAAAAGAAAAAAGACAGGCUGGGUAAGCAGUGUGGUUUUUCAGAAGGAUGACUUAGCAAGAUAAAUCAGCUUGUUUCAGGAGGUACGUGGAUUUAUGCCUCAUCUGGGGGUAUAUUUAAUCUCAAGGAAACUAUUUGCAGCAAAUCCACUUUGAAAGUGGGCUUCAGAAUAUACAUGCAAGAUUGAUAACUUAGCCCUGUCUGCAAUGGCAACGAACUCUUGGAGGGAAACUACUCUUACUUGCCUUGAGAGUUUCAGGUCAAGGCUACAUCAGACACUAAUGCCUCUAGUAAAUGCUCCAAACUACUUGUCUAGCUACUUGCACUAUUGUUUAACUGCAUAUGCUACAACCAUAUGCUAAAACUUGUACAGAAGAAGCUGUGCUCCCAAACAUAGAGAGCCAGCAGAAAGGUGACUUUGUAAUUCAUCUGUAAAUCAAUCGUAUUAGGAAAGGAAGAGGGCUGAGGCUUUUUUCAGGAAUGGAUGGUUCAUCCUGUCUCAAGUAAAAUCAUACACCAGUCAGUAAGACUGCAUCAACCAAACAUCAAAUUGUGGAGUGGAGCACAAGAAGGUCUGCAAGGAAGGGUUUUAUAGAUCCUGUGAUCCAAAGGAAAGCAUUUAUUCUUUGUAUAACAGGCAGCUAGAAAGCAAGUAUGGAGCAUGCAGAGGAGAUGUGUGCAACUGGGUCAGCAAGACCCAGCAAGGAUGGUCCAGCAAGGACAAUUCUGGGAGAUAAAUGAUCAGGUACCUAGAAUGGGUCUGAGUUAAGAAGCUGGUUGUGUAAUAAAAUCCCUUCUGGGUUUUGUUGUUAGAAACAAACAGUUCAAGUAACAGAUGGACACUUAAAAUAUUUUUUGUCUUUUCUUCCUCUAACCUAGACUGCAGCCUGACUUGAACAGUACUUCAGGCCUGACCUCAUCAUCAGCUGUAGUUCUCUCCAUGCAUAGCAUUCCAGACUGGAUUUGGAUUGCAUGUUGUGUUUGCUCUCAGCUUCUCCUGGAUCUAGAUUGUCCCUGAAUACAUUUCAGUUUCAGACUGAAAGAUACCACAAUGUUUCACACAAGUCAUAUUAGCCUGCGCACACCCCACACACCCUUCUGGGUCACUCCCUUGAAGAGAAAUGUUUUUUUGUGCUGGACUGAACAGCACAUUUGAAUGACAAAUGAGCAUUGAAUUAAAAGAGCAAUUCUAAACUGAA